AAUAUUGCGCAAUGGAGGAAACUCUGACGCAGCGACGCCGCGUGAGCGAUGAAGGUCUUCGGAUCGUAAAGCUCUGUCCUUGGGGAAGAAGGACGUCAUUUAUGACGCCUUGACGGUACCCGAGGAGGAAGCCCCGGCUAACUACGUGCCAGCCGCCGCGGUAAUACGUAGGGGGCGAGCGUUGUCCGGAAUUACUGGGCGUAAAGGGUACGUAGGCGGCUAUAUAAGUCAGGUGUGAAAUACCAGUGCUUAACACUGGAAUUGCAUUUGAAACUGUGUAGCUUGAGUGCAGGAGAGGAAAGUGGAAUUCCUAGUGUAGCGGUGAAAUGCGUAGAGAUUAGGAGGAACACCAGUGGCGAAGGCGACUUUCUGGACUGUAACUGACGCUGAGGUACGAAAGCGUGGGUAGCGAACA
This 415-nucleotide ribosomal RNA is filed under the name uncultured bacterium. RNAcentral's name for it is "partial 16S ribosomal RNA". It matches the Rfam family "Bacterial small subunit ribosomal RNA", at positions 360 to 774 of the family's 1533-position model. The record is from RNAcentral.